AUGUAAGAAUAUGAAAGUGUACUGUUCUCCUCUCCCUCCCCCCCCCAAAAAAAAAAAAUAAAUCAUCAACA
This 71-nucleotide transfer RNA is filed under the name Schistosoma mansoni. The record is from RNAcentral. Lineage: Eukaryota; Metazoa; Platyhelminthes; Trematoda; Strigeidida; Schistosomatidae.